Molecule: ribosomal RNA, 2105 nt
Filed under: human gut metagenome
Description: bacterial LSU rRNA
Rfam family: Bacterial large subunit ribosomal RNA
Source: RNAcentral
UUAUGCUGAUAAGAGCGUAUGGUGGAUGCCUUGGCACUAAGAGCCGAUGAAAGACGUGAUAAGCUGCGAAAAGCUUCGGGGAGGAGCAAAUAUCCUUUGAUCCGGAGAUUUCUGAAUGGGGAAACCUACUUGAGCAAACCUCAAGUAUCCUUAAGCCAAUACAUAACUUAAGGAAGGGAACCCGGUGAACUGAAACAUCUAAGUAGCCGGAGGAAGAGAAAACAACAUGUGAUUCUGUGAGUAGCGGCGAGCGAAAACGGAAGAGCCCAAACCAGCGUGCGUGCAUGCUGGGGUUCGGACCGCGGAAUUGAUUCAACGAGUUUAGCAGAACGGUUUUGGGAAAGCCGGCCAGAGAGGGUGAAAGCCCCGUAAGCGAAAGACGAGUUGACAUGGCGGGAUCCAGAGUACCACGAGACACGUGGAACCUUGUGGGAAGAUGCGGGGACCACCCCGUAAGGCUAAAUACUACUUAGUGACCGAUAGCGCAUAGUACUGUGAAGGAAAGGUGAAAAGGACCCCGGGAGGGGAGUGAAAAAGAACCUGAAACCAUAUGUUUACAAGCUGUGGAAGAGCUUUAUAUGCUCAACCGCGUACUUUUUGUAGAACGGUCCGGCGAGUUACGCUGGCUGGCGAGGUUAAGGACUAAAGGUCCGGAGCCGAAGGGAAACCAAGUCUGAACAGGGCGCAUAGUCAGUCGGAGUAGACCCGAAACCGGGUGAUCUAUCCAUGUCCAGGUUGAAGUUGCCGUAAAAGGCAAUGGAGGACCGAACCCACAUCCGUUGAAAAGGGUGGGGAUGAGGUGUGGAUAGGGGAGAAAUUCCAAUCGAACCCGGAGAUAGCUGGUUCUCCUCGAAAUAGCUUUAGGGCUAGCCUCAUACGAGUCUUGCGGAGGUAGAGCACUGAAUUCCUAAGGGGGCGUCAAAGCUUACUAAGGGAUAUCAAACUCCGAAUGCCGUGUAGAUGAUGUAUGGGAGUCAGACGAUCCGAGAUAAGUUGGGUGGUCAAAAGGGAAAGAGCCCAGACCAACAGCUAAGGCCCCAAAAUGUGUGUUAAGUGGAAAAGGAUGUGGGAUUUCGAAGACAACUAGGAUGUUGGCUCAGAAGCAGCCAUUCAUUCAAAGAGUGCGUAAUAGCUCACUAGUCGAGAGGUCCUGCGCCGAAAAUGUCCGGGGCUAAAACACACUGCCGAAGCUUUGGAAUUGAAUUAAUUCAAUUGGUAGAGGAGCAUUCUUAAAGGGACGAAGCAGUACCGUAAGGAGCUGUGGACUUUUAAGAAGAGAGAAUGCCGGAAUGAGUAGCGAGAGGAAGGUGGGAAUCCUUCCGGCCGAAUAUCUAAGGUUUCCAGAGUAAAGCUGAUCUGCUCUGGGUAAGUCGGGGCCUAAGGCGAGGUCGAAAGACGUAGUCGAUGGAUAACAGGUUGAAAUUCCUGUACUAUCCUGUAACAGAACUGUGGGGACACAGGCAGAGAGCGUGAGCCGGGAAUGGAAAGACCGGUACAAGCGAGGUAGGAGAAGAGUUGGCAAAUCCGCUCUUUAAUCUGAAGACGUGAUGUGGACUGAAAAUAAGUAGGGAAGCACGUGAGCUGACUGUCAAGAAAAGCCGCUAUUGUUUGCAGGAUACCCGUACCGUAAACCGACACAGGUGGAUGAGGAGAGAAUCCUAAGGCCGACGGGAGAAGCAUUGUUAAGGAACUCGGCAAAAUGACUCCGUAACUUCGGGAGAAGGAGUGCCAGUAAGAUGGCCGCAGAGAAUUGGCCCAAGCAACUGUUUAGCAAAAACACAGGUCUAUGCAAAACCGAAAGGUGAGGUAUAUGGGCUGACGCCUGCCCGGUGCUGGAAGGUUAAGGGGAGAGGUUAGCGCAAGCGAAGCUUUGAACUUAAGCCCCAGUAAACGGCGGCCGUAACUAUAACGGUCCUAAGGUAGCGAAAUUCCUUGUCGGGUAAGUUCCGACCCGCACGAAAGGCGUAAUGAUUUGGGCACUGUCUCAACAAUGCACCCGGUGAAAUUGAAAUACCAGUGAAGAUGCUGGUUACCUGCGCCAGGACGGAAAGACCCCAUGGAGCUUUACUCCAGCUUGAUACUGGGAUUCGGUAUUGCAUGUACAG